RNAcentral lists this ribosomal RNA (380 nucleotides) under uncultured eukaryote. RNAcentral describes it as "partial 18S ribosomal RNA". It matches the Rfam family "Eukaryotic small subunit ribosomal RNA", at positions 592 to 976 of the family's 1831-position model. The record is from RNAcentral.
CAAUAGCGUAUAUUAAAGCUGUUGCGGUUAAAAAGCUCGUAGUUGGAUUUCUGUCAAGUACAACUGGUCCGCCCUCCGGGUGAGCACAUAGUUUGGUCUUGGCAUCUUGCUGGAAAUUGUUGCUGCACUUGGCUGUGUGGCGCAGUGUCCAGCACUUUCACUUUGAGGAAAUUGGAGUGUUUCAAGCAGGCAAUGCCUUUGAACACAGUAGCAUGGAAUAAUUAGAUUGGGCUUUUGCUCCAAUUUGUCGGUUUCUGGAGCUGAGGUGAGAAUUAAUGGGGAUUGUUGGGGGCAUCCGAAUUUAGCCGUCAGAGGUGAAAUUCUUGGAUCGUAGCACGACGAACAACUGCGAAAGCAUUUGCCAAGAAUGUUUUCAUUAA